This 216-nucleotide ribosomal RNA is filed under the name Sabethes sp. MB10781. Its description in RNAcentral is "partial 16S ribosomal RNA". Lineage: Eukaryota; Metazoa; Arthropoda; Insecta; Diptera; Culicidae. The record is from RNAcentral.
GAUCUUUAUUUUUAUUUUUUAUAAUUUAAUAAGAUUAUUAAAAAUUAUAAUAAAAUAUAAAAUUUUACUGGGGUGGUAUUAAAAUUUAAUAAACUUUUAUUUUUAUAUACAUAAAUUUAUGAAUAAUUGAUCUAAUAUUAUUGAUUAAAAAAUUAAGUUACCUUAGGGAUAACAGCGUAAUUUUUUUUUAGAGUUCAUAUCGAUAAAAAAGAUUGC